Molecule: long non-coding RNA, 894 nt
Organism: Fundulus heteroclitus (mummichog)
Lineage: Eukaryota; Metazoa; Chordata; Actinopteri; Cyprinodontiformes; Fundulidae
Exons: 9
Source: RefSeq, a predicted model, not a curated record
UUGCGCCGUCCGCUCUUUCCAUUUCUCGUCUCUGACUCUCAGCGGGCGACCAUGGAUCAACAGACUUGUGUAAUCCCACCACACCGAAUGCUCAGGGUGUGGAGUAAUCCAGGUCCCUGAGGGAGCUGCAGGAUGGAGUUCUUUGUCUCUUUUAGAUACGCUAAUCGCCUCAGCAGCCGACAUGCAGGAUGUGUUCCUGGCUUCUGCUCUGCUCCUUAGAUCAGCUGCAGGAACCUGAGUCUGCAGCAGUUAACGGACGAGGAUCUCCAUGUGACUCCCAGCAGCUCAGCAGAGCCUCUGGGAUGCUGCAGCCCGUGUUGAGGAGAAAGCUGCACUGAGAGGGCAGCGCUCAUCCUGGACGGCAGCUUGGAAGGGAAACGUUUAACUUUUGGUAAGAAAAGAAUCAGUGUGGCCACAUUUAAAUGUGGGUUCAGUGAUGUUCAAACAAAUGUCUGACCUGAAAUGUAAUGUAGACGAAUAAAAUAUUGCUGAGAAACCCAGUGACUGAAAAGAGUUUGAAGCCAGUUGUUGACUUGUAAUAAGGCUUUCGUUUGUUCUUUGCAGGAUGUCUGCUCAAGUGACGGUGAGUAUCUUUGUGAAAGCAGUGAUGUGUUUUAGGAGUCUCAAUAAACACCAGUGAUGAAAAGAUUCUGCCAAAUGACCAAAUGGACUGAUUAUAACCCUUACCGUUCCAUUAUUUCUGAAGUGUUGUGGUCGGUAGACAGCCCACAUGACUUCCUUGAAGAGGCUUUGUUCUGAAAAGCUGCUUUCUUGCAGGUGCUGACCCAAGGAUGGAAGAAAAUGUCAAACAUUAUUUCCUGAGAUGAUGCUGUGAUCUGGAUGAUUUGAGCAGGAAUUUGAUUUGCAAUCUAAUAAAGUGUGAAAUGAACCAAG